Molecule: ribosomal RNA, 460 nt
Filed under: uncultured bacterium
Lineage: Bacteria
Description: partial 16S ribosomal RNA
Rfam family: Bacterial small subunit ribosomal RNA
Source: RNAcentral
CCUACGGGAGGCAGCAGUGAGGAAUAUUGGUCAAUGGACGAGAGUCUGAACCAGCCAAGUAGCGUGCAGGAUGACUGCCCUAUGGGUUGUAAACUUCUUUUAUAAAGGAAUAAAACGAGGCACGUGUGCCUUUUUGCAAGUACUUUAUGAAUAAGGCUCGGCUAACUCCGUGCCAGCAGCCGCGGUAAUACGGAGGAUCCGAGCGUUAUCCGGAUUUAUUGGGUUUAAAGGGGGCGUAGAUGGGUUGUUAAGUCAGUUGUGAAAGUUUGCGGCUCAACCGUAACAUUGCCAUUGAUACUGGCAGGCUUGAGUACAGUUGAGGUAGGCGGAAUUCGUGGUGUAGCGGUGAAAUGCUUAGAUAUCACGAAGAACCCCGAUUGCGAAGGCAGCUUACUAAACUGUGACUGACAUUGAUGCUCGAAAGUGUGGGUAGCAAACAGGAUUAGAUACCCUUGUAGUC